UACAGGAGGUGCAAGCGUUGUUCGAAUUAUUGGGCGUAAAGCGCGUGUAGGCGGCUUUGCAAGUCGGGUGUGAAAGCCCUCAGCUCAACUGAGGAAGUGCGCCCCGAAACUGCAGAGCUUGAGUGCCGGAGAGGGUGGCGGAAUUCCCCCAAGUAGAGGUGAAAAUUCGUAGAUAUGGGGGAGGAACACCGGUGGCGAAGGCGGCCAC
RNAcentral lists this ribosomal RNA (208 nucleotides) under uncultured bacterium. Its description in RNAcentral is "partial 16S ribosomal RNA". It matches the Rfam family "Bacterial small subunit ribosomal RNA", at positions 524 to 728 of the family's 1533-position model. The record is from RNAcentral.